Molecule: ribosomal RNA, 793 nt
Filed under: uncultured Acidobacteriota bacterium
Lineage: Bacteria; Pseudomonadati; Acidobacteriota
Description: bacterial SSU rRNA
Rfam family: Bacterial small subunit ribosomal RNA
Source: RNAcentral
UAGAGUUUGAUCCUGGCUCAGAAUUAACGCUGGCGGCGUGCCUAACACAUGCAAGUCGAACGAGAAAGUGGAGCAAUCCAUGAGUACAGUGGCGCACGGGUGAGUAACACGUGACUAACCUACCCUUGAGUGGGGAAUAACUUCGGGAAACCGAGGCUAAUACCGCAUAAUACCUACGGGUCAAAGGAACAAUUCGCUCGAGGAGGGGGUCGCGGCCGAUUAGUUAGUUGGCGGGGUAAUGGCCCACCAAGACGAUGAUCGGUAUCCGGCCUGAGAGGGCGCACGGACACACUGGAACUGAAACACGGUCCAGACUCCUACGGGAGGCAGCAGUGGGGAAUUUUGCGCAAUGGGGGAAACCCUGACGCAGCAACGCCGCGUGGAGGAUGAAGUCCUUCGGGACGUAAACUCCUUUCGAUCGGGACGAUUAUGACGGUACCGGAAGAAGAAGCCCCGGCUAACUUCGUGCCAGCAGCCGCGGUAAUACGAGGGGGGCGAGCGUUGUUCGGAAUUAUUGGGCGUAAAGGGUGCGUAGGCGGUUUGGUAAGUCUCGUGUGAAAUCUAUGGGCUCAACUCAUAGUCUGCACGAGAAACUGCCGGGCUUGAGUAUGGGAGAGGUGAGUGGAAUUCCUGGUGUAGCGGUGAAAUGCGUAGAUAUCAGGAGGAACACCUGUGGCGAAAGCGGCUCACUGGACCAUAACUGACGCUGAUGCACGAAAGCUAGGGGAGCAAACAGGAUUAGAUACCCUGGUAGUCCUAGCCCUAAACGAUGACUGCUUGGUGUGACGGGUAC